Non-coding RNA from Equus caballus (horse), 1440 nucleotides. The record is from RefSeq and is a predicted model, not a curated record. Lineage: Eukaryota; Metazoa; Chordata; Mammalia; Perissodactyla; Equidae.
CUCUAGGGGAGGGAGCGAUGUUCUCUCCUACCGUUCCAGCGCCUCCGAGGCCGUCUGCAAGGUAACAAAGCUAGGAUCCUGUACAGAGAAGGCACCUGAAGGACUAAAACAGAAGGAUGCAGCAAGCUGGAAAGAAUGUUGCUCCAACCUUAAUAAGAACAGGAAAAAGGAUCCUCUACAAAAUUCCUGACUUUUCUUGAACCCAAUAGACAGCUGAGGUUGCGGUGCAACUGAGGAGCCUACAGUCUAAGGAAAGACAGGAGUCUCCCGAGAGAGACGGGCACAAGCACAGGGCACCUGCAGCAGAGCAGAGGAGAGCAAGACGUCAAGCACCACACCAACCGGUAAGAACUUAAACAAAAUUGUUAGCAAAUUACUAAGGCUGAGUGUGGGAGCAUGGGAGAGUAGAGGACCUCUGGAAGAUGCACAAACAAGAGCAGGGUGGCCCAUUCACAGGCCCCUCCCCAUGAACGUCCAUCACUUAUGACCAGGAUUGGGGUAGAUUUGGGGUAGAGCAGGAGAUGUGAGAAAUCUGUCCCUUAGGGGUGUAGGCCCCAAAGAGGAGAGCACAGGUGCUGCAGGAAAGGCACAAAUUCCACCCAAGCCCUCGAUCACUAUAGGAAAAAAAGCCAUAAGCCACUGGGAAAGAGCAGGAAACUGUCAUUUCUAGGACACAGGUAAAGACUCAUGCUGCUGGAGCAAAGAAAAGGAAAACAAGCAUCUACCCUGCAAUGGGGGCAGGAAACCACCCUGGACCCAGAUAUUAGGGGUCUUUGUCAGCUCAGGGAGGGACAGGAUCACAGAGACACAGGGCCUGCCUGAGACAGGCUAGACCAGGACAACAGGGGGUAAGAAGUGACAGAAGUUCACCACUGAUGGAGGACAAGCAUGGAGAGAGAUCCCUUCUGAGGCACAGACCAAUGGGGAAGCCUGAAAGCUGAGGGUGGAGUAGGAACUUUGAGAAAGUUUGCAACACCGCAGUACCCACCCUAAGCACAAGGUGGCACUGAAGGAAAUUGAAGCAGCAGAAGAGACAUGCCCGUUAAAAGGCAUAAAAAUGAUUUACCUCAGUCUCUACUGGUCUACAUAUGAUGCCUGGCAUCCAAUAAAAAAUUACGAGACAUAACCUCCCCACCAAAAAAGAAGAAAUAACUAACUCACUCUAAAGAGAUGAAGCAAUGUACAGAACCAGACUCAGAGAUAACCCAGAUAUUGGAAUCAUCAGACAGGGAAUUUAAAAUAAAUAUGAGUAAGAUGUUAAGUGCUCUAGUGGAAAAGGUGGACAGCAUGCAUGGCCAGAUAGAAAAUCCCAGCAGACAGAUGGAAAGUAUAAGCAAUCGUUAAAUGGGGGGCCGGCUCCGUGGCCAAGUGGUUAAGUUCGCGUGCUCCGCUGCGGCGGCCCAGGGUUCGGAUCCUGGGCACAGACAUGGCACCGCUCGU